CGGCGGACGGCCCGGCCUCCAGGACGAGCGGUUCGAGGCCGCGCUCGAUGAGGCGGGCGGCGGCGGCCAGGCCGAUCGGGCCGGCUCCGACGACCA
This 96-nucleotide transfer RNA is filed under the name Streptomyces albogriseolus. RNAcentral's name for it is "tRNA-Ser". The record is from RNAcentral. Lineage: Bacteria; Bacillati; Actinomycetota; Actinomycetes; Kitasatosporales; Streptomycetaceae.